GAUGAACGCUGGCGGCGUGCCUAAUACAUGCAAGUCGAGCGAACAGACGAGGAGCUUGCUCCUCUGACGUUAGCGGCGGACGGGUGAGUAACACGUGGAUAACCUACCUAUAAGACUGGGAUAACUUCGGGAAACCGGAGCUAAUACCGGAUAAUAUAUUGAACCGCAUGGUUCAAUAGUGAAAGACGGUUUUGCUGUCACUUAUAGAUGGAUCCGCGCCGCAUUAGCUAGUUGGUAAGGUAACGGCUUACCAAGGCAACGAUGCGUAGCCGACCUGAGAGGGUGAUCGGCCACACUGUAACUGAGAUACGGUCCAGACUCCUACGGGAGGCAGCAGUAGGGAAUCUUCCGCAAUGGGCGAAAGCCUGACGGAGCAACGCCGCGUGAGUGAUGAAGGUCUUCGGAUCGUAAAACUCUGUUAUUAGGGAAGAACAAAUGUGUAAGUAACUAUGCACGUCUUGACGGUACCUAAUCAGAAAGCCACGGCUAACUACGUG
RNAcentral lists this ribosomal RNA (497 nucleotides) under uncultured bacterium. RNAcentral describes it as "partial 16S ribosomal RNA". It matches the Rfam family "Bacterial small subunit ribosomal RNA", at positions 28 to 507 of the family's 1533-position model. The record is from RNAcentral.